RNAcentral lists this ribosomal RNA (235 nucleotides) under uncultured bacterium. RNAcentral describes it as "partial 16S ribosomal RNA". It matches the Rfam family "Bacterial small subunit ribosomal RNA", at positions 99 to 334 of the family's 1533-position model. The record is from RNAcentral.
CGGACGGGUGAGUAACGCGUGGGUAACCUGCCUCACACAGGGGGAUAACAGUUGGAAACGGCUGCUAAUACCGCAUAAGCGCACGGUACCGCAUGGUACAGUGUGAAAAACUCCGGUGGUGUGAGAUGGACCCGCGUCUGAUUAGCUAGUUGGCAGGGCAACGGCCUACCAAGGCGACGAUCAGUAGCCGACCUGAGAGGGUGACCGGCCACAUUGGGACUGAGAUACGGCCCAA